AGUCGAGGGGCAGCACGGGUGCUUGCACUUGGUGGCGACCGGCGGACGGGUGCGUAACGCGUAUGCAACCUACCUUAUACAGGGAGAUAGCCCAGAGAAAUUUGGAUUAAUAUGCCAUAAUAUCAUAAAGCCACAUGGUUUAAUGAUUAAAGAUUUAUCGGUAUAAGAUGGGCAUGCGUAUGAUUAGCUAGUUGGUGAGGUAAUGGCUCACCAAGGCGACGAUCAUUAGGGGGCCUGAGAGGGUGAACCCCCACACUGGUACUGAGACACGGACCAGACUCCUACGGGAGGCAGCAGUGAGGAAUAUUGGGCAAUGGAGGCAACUCUGACCCAGCCAUGCCGCGUGUAGGAAGAAGGCGUUCUGCGUCGUAAACUACUUUUAUAUAGGAAUAAACCUCUCUACGUGUAGAGGGCUGAAUGUACUAUACGAAUAAGCACCGGCUAACUCCGUGCCAGCAGCCGCGGUAAUACGGAGGGUGCAAGCGUUAUCCGGAUUCAUUGGGUUUAAAGGGUCCGUAGGCGGCUAAAUAAGUCAGUGGUGAAAGCCUCCCGCUCAACGGGAGAACUGCCAUUGAAACUGUCUGGCUUGAAUCUAUUUGAA
This 601-nucleotide ribosomal RNA is filed under the name uncultured bacterium. RNAcentral describes it as "bacterial SSU rRNA". It matches the Rfam family "Bacterial small subunit ribosomal RNA", at positions 60 to 656 of the family's 1533-position model. The record is from RNAcentral.